Oncorhynchus tshawytscha (Chinook salmon) is the source of this 374-nucleotide long non-coding RNA. The record is from Ensembl. NCBI's taxonomy places the organism in Eukaryota, Metazoa, Chordata, Actinopteri, Salmoniformes, Salmonidae.
GUGUGUGUGUUUUACCCCGUUGGUCUCCUCUUCCAGGCGUGGGGGGGUGUGUGUGUUUUACCCCGUUGGUCUCCUCUUCCAGGCGCGUGGGGGUGUGUGUGUUUUACCCCGUUGGUCUCCUCUUCCAGGCGUGGGGGGGUGUGUGUGUGUUUUACCCCGUUGGUCUCCUCUUCCAGGCGUGGGGGUGUGUGUGUGUGUUUUACCCCGUUGGUCUCCUCUUCCAGGCGUGGGGGUGUGUGUGUGUGUUUUACCCCGUUGGUCUCCUCUUCCAGGCGUGGGGGGGUGUGUGUGUGUGUUUUACCCCGUUGGUCUCCUCUUCCAGGCGUGGGGGUGUGUGUGUGUGUUUUACCCCGUUGGUCUCCUCUUCCAGGCGU